GACGAACGCUGGCGGCGUGCUUAACACAUGCAAGUCGAACGAAGAGCGAUGGAAGCUUGCUUCUAUCAAUCUUAGUGGCGAACGGGUGAGUAACGCGUAAUCAACCUGCCCUUCAGAGGGGGACAACAGUUGGAAACGACUGCUAAUACCGCAUACGAUCUAAUCUCGGCAUCGAGGAUAGAUGAAAGGUGGCCUCUACAUGUAAGCUAUCACUGAAGGAGGGGAUUGCGUCUGAUUAGCUAGUUGGAGGGGUAACGGCCCACCAAGGCGAUGAUCAGUAGCCGGUCUGAGAGGAUGAACGGCCACAUUGGGACUGAGACACGGCCCAGACUCCUACGGGAGGCAGCAGUGGGGAAUCUUCCGCAAUGGACGAAAGUCUGACGGAGCAACGCCGCGUGAGUGAUGACGGCCUUCGGGUUGUAAAGCUCUGUUAAUCGGGACGAAAGGCCUUCUUGCGAAUAGGGAGAAGGAUUGACGGUACCGGAAGAGAAAGCCACGGCUAACUACGUG
RNAcentral lists this ribosomal RNA (510 nucleotides) under uncultured bacterium. RNAcentral describes it as "partial 16S ribosomal RNA". It matches the Rfam family "Bacterial small subunit ribosomal RNA", at positions 28 to 507 of the family's 1533-position model. The record is from RNAcentral.